RNAcentral lists this transfer RNA (73 nucleotides) under Stegodyphus mimosarum. It matches the Rfam family "tRNA". From Rfam's summary of the family: Transfer RNA (tRNA) molecules are approximately 80 nucleotides in length. Their secondary structure includes four short double-helical elements and three loops (D, anti-codon, and T loops). Further hydrogen bonds mediate the characteristic L-shaped molecular structure. tRNAs have two regions of fundamental functional importance: the anti-codon, which is responsible for specific mRNA codon recognition, and the 3' end, to which the tRNAs corresponding amino acid is attached (by aminoacyl-tRNA synthetases). tRNAs cope with the degeneracy of the genetic code in two manners: having more than one tRNA (with a specific anti-codon) for a particular amino acid; and 'wobble' base-pairing, i.e. permitting non-standard base-pairing at the 3rd anti-codon position. Lineage: Eukaryota; Metazoa; Arthropoda; Arachnida; Araneae; Eresidae. The record is from Rfam by way of RNAcentral.
GCCUCCGUGGUACAGUGGUCAGCACACUCGGCGCGUAUUCGAGAGGCCUGUAGUUCAAGUCCCGGCGAGGGCA